Long non-coding RNA from Carcharodon carcharias (great white shark), 569 nucleotides. RefSeq lists it as uncharacterized. The transcript has 3 exons. NCBI's taxonomy places the organism in Eukaryota, Metazoa, Chordata, Chondrichthyes, Lamniformes, Lamnidae. The record is from RefSeq and is a predicted model, not a curated record.
GCUCAGCCGAUCACGGGCUGCGAUUGGCUGUGCGCCCACCCAUCCCGCCCAAAGGGGAGAAAAUUCCCCCCUAUAUCUUUGGUAAGACUCAGAAGAAGCCAUAAUCAAAAAGGAAAUUGGGCAGCCUCUUCUGAUACCCUGCAUAACCAAGUAUCUCCAAACCAAAUGCAAAACUGCCAAAGUCAGCUCUAGCAGAAUCACCCAACUUAACGGCCGUAACAUCCCACCAUCUACAUAUCACGGACAAGCCAAAGCCAAAGAUGGCUACUACCAACCAGACAGCCUCAAAAGAGAGAGAGAAGGAUUCCAAUGGUACAGCAUUUGGUGAGGAUGGUCUCUGCAAAGCGCCUUUAUCUUGGAAUCUAUCAACAGUGCAGUUGGAAAGUGAAUCAGGAGCCAUCAACAUACAGCCCUCAGACUUCACAGCAGUGCAUCAGUAAUUGGACAAUUUAGUCAUCAUGAAGUAGAGGAAUUCAGGUGUGUACUUAUACCCUGGUAAUUCACAUUUCAACACCUUAUAUGAUGCUACUUUUUCACCAAUAAAUUAAAUAAAUCCCUUUGCAAAGUUA